AAUAAACCAAUUUUUUAUUUUUUACUUUUAAUUUUUGACUCUUCGUCUUAUUUAAAAAAUUUUUACGAUUGAUAUUUUUGUUUUUAUUAGAUGAUAAAUCAUAAAUACUACUUUACGUGUGACUAAUUUUUUUCUAAUUUCCUGAAAAUUUUUAAAUAAGACAGAUAGUCAAACGUUAGACACGAAAACCGGAGAAUUCGUUUUUU
This 206-nucleotide microRNA precursor is filed under the name Oryza brachyantha (malo sina). RNAcentral's name for it is "MIR812 microRNA precursor family". It matches the Rfam family "MIR812 microRNA precursor family". Lineage: Eukaryota; Viridiplantae; Streptophyta; Magnoliopsida; Poales; Poaceae. The record is from Rfam by way of RNAcentral.